RNAcentral lists this long non-coding RNA (1126 nucleotides) under Fukomys damarensis (Damara mole-rat). Its description in RNAcentral is "lncRNA (ENSFDAG00000033438.1)". Lineage: Eukaryota; Metazoa; Chordata; Mammalia; Rodentia; Bathyergidae. The record is from RNAcentral.
UACUUCAUUCCACAGGUAUAAUUUCUUGUUUCUUUCCUUGUUCUUACAGAGUCCCAGGAUCUUUGGAAGGGACCUAGAAAUGAUAUGUGGCACAUUUCAGUGACUUCUAGUCAGAAGUCAUUUCGUCCAUCAAGGGAAGUGAGCGUCUGUAUGAUUUCAAAGAAUUAGAAGGGGAGUCUACCAUUAUAGAGGAAACUAAAGGAAAGUGGUCGGAUAGCAGGAAGAACUUUUUCUGUUCGUCUGUAUUUGACAUAAGUGCUGCUGAGGACUAAAAUUCAUAUAGUUAUUGGGGCCUGACGCUUGCUCUAGUUUUCCUAAAGGGCUGAAGAACUACACUUUAGUCCCUGUGCACAUCCUGUGUACCUUAAAACCGUGUUCUGAUCUGUAAAAGAAGUGUGGAAAAGUGCAGUGGGUGAUUGUUCACCUUCUUGUUGAAGAAGAUCUGCUUGCAACUCCCCAUGGCCAAAUGUAGAAAGAGGCACAGUGAUGAUGGCUUCUAGGACCGCCCCUGCUUUGAGCUCUGCUUAGGCAGCUCCUAGGGCUGUCCAUUCCUCUCAGAGGAGAAACGCUGCAAGGUAGACAGAGAUGUUUGGGAGAGAAGAGCCUGCUGUGGAGCCAUCAGGUUGCCUGCCUACUUUGUGGAGUGGGCCGGAGAGGUUCCUCAGGACAAGAGGAAGUAGAGAAGGCAGCUGUCUCCGACCCUCCUUGCUGUAAUAACCUCUCCGCUCCAUGACUGUGCCCUGUGACUUGAGCUGCAUUACUGGGAACAGCUGAGGGGAAGCAUCGCGAAGGUUGGUGAGGAGAAAUAACGAAGAGGAGGGUGAAUAAGAAGGUGGACAUCUGUCCCACAUCCUGCCCAGCCGAGCAGUGCCACCGUGCAUCUGUGUGUCCAGGGCACCGUGGAGGUGCAGAAGUGGUUGAGACUCAGUCGUUCCCCAAGGAGUUCUGGAUGCAUCUUGCCUCAUACAGAGGGUGCCUGACUUGCGCUGCUCCACUUCAUGGCUCCAGAAUUACGGUAUUUUAUUUGGAAGACAAGGGAAAAAAAGAAGGCAGAAGAGGCAAAAAAGAGCCAAGGAAGAGGAAGGUCUAUUCUGAAUUAUAAAAUGUGAAAGAAAUAACACUGUAC